CCGUGCGACUGCGGAGGACAUUAGUGAUCACCGGGGUAGCCACUCUGUGGCCCCCAAACCUUCACUUUCCACACACACCUGUGCACCCGGUGGUGGGGGGUUCUUGUAAUAGAGCUCCCUCUGCUGCCUAUCUAUCACAUACCCUGAGUAUUAUGGAUGUCAGUGUAUACUUGCCUUUUUGGCAGAACUAAACACAACUUUCGACAACGGAUCUCUUGGUUCUCCCAUCGAUGAAGAACGCAGCGAAAUGCGAUAAGUAAUGUGAAUUGCAGAAUUCAGUGAAUCAUCGAAUCUUUGAACGCACCUUGCGCUCCUUGGUAUUCCGAGGAGCAUGCCUGUUUGAGUGUCAUGAAUCCCUCAAACCCCUCAGGUUUUGAAACAAAAGCCUGGGCUUGGGUUUGGAUGUGGGUGCCCUGCCAUCUUGUAUGGCUCACCCCAAAUGCAUUAGCUGGACCCUUCCUGUAACCGGUUCCACUCAGCGUGAUAAGUCAUUCGCUGAGGACAGCGAGGCAAGCCCACUUGUGGGUGCGCCCCUGCUGGCCGGACUCGGGUUGCUUGGUCUGCUUACAGCCCCGUCGCAUGACGGAAAACCAUAUUCAAUGCUCUGGCCUCAAAUCAGGUAGGAUUACCCGCUGAACUUAAGCAUAUCAUAGGC
RNAcentral lists this ribosomal RNA (655 nucleotides) under Tolypocladium album. RNAcentral describes it as "eukaryotic LSU rRNA". The stretch from base 196 to 349 matches the Rfam family "5.8S ribosomal RNA". The record is from RNAcentral. Lineage: Eukaryota; Fungi; Ascomycota; Sordariomycetes; Hypocreales; Ophiocordycipitaceae.